GAUGAAGAACGUAGCGAAAUGCGAUAAGUAAUGUGAAUUGCAGAAUUCAGUGAAUCAUCGAAUCUUUGAACGCACCUUGCGCCCUUUGGCUGUUCCGAAGGGCAUGCCUGUUUGAGUAUCAUGAACACCUCAACCCUCAUGGUUUGCCAUGAUGGGCUUGGACUUUGGGGGUCUUGCUGGAUUGUAGUCAGCUCCCCUUAAAUGAAUCAGCUUGCCAGUGUUUGGUGGCAUCACAGGUGUGAUAAAUAUCUACGCUUGUGGUUUUACAUCAGAUAACCUUCAGUGAUGGAGGUUCACUGGAGCUCAUAAAGGUGUCUCUCCUCUGUGAGGACAGCUCUUUGAAUGUUUGAUCUCAAAUCAGGCAGGACUACCCGCUGAACUUAAGCAUAUCAAUAAGCGGAGGA
This 404-nucleotide unclassified non-coding RNA is filed under the name soil metagenome. RNAcentral describes it as "partial contains 5.8S ribosomal RNA, internal transcribed spacer 2, and large subunit ribosomal RNA". The stretch from base 1 to 121 matches the Rfam family "5.8S ribosomal RNA", at positions 35 to 154 of the family's 154-position model. The record is from RNAcentral.